This 499-nucleotide ribosomal RNA is filed under the name uncultured bacterium. Its description in RNAcentral is "bacterial SSU rRNA". It matches the Rfam family "Bacterial small subunit ribosomal RNA", at positions 899 to 1397 of the family's 1533-position model. The record is from RNAcentral.
ACUCAAAUGAAUAGACGGGGGCCCGCACAAGCAGUGGAGCAUGUGGUUUAAUUCGACGCAACGCGAAGAACCUUACCUAGGCUUGAAACGCAAGCUAAACCUGAUGAAAGUCGGGGUGCCGCAAGGCGAGCUUGUACAGGUGCUGCAUGGCUGUCGUCAGCUCGUGCCGUGAGGUGUUGGGUUAAGUCCCGCAACGAGCGCAACCCUCGUUUUUAGUUGCCACCAGGUAAUGCUGAGCACUCUAAAAAGACUGCCUACGCAAGUAGUGAGGAAGGUGGGGAUGACGUCAAGUCCGCAUGGCCCUUACGCCUAGGGCCACACACGUGCUACAAUGGCCAUUACAAAGGGCUGCAAUACCGCGAGGUGGAGCCAAUCCCUAAAAAAUGGUCUCAGUUCGGAUUGGAGUCUGCAACUCGACUCCAUGAAGCUGGAAUUGCUAGUAAUCGCGCAUCAGCACGGCGCGGUGAAUACGUUCCCGGGCCUUGUACACACCGCCCGU